RNAcentral lists this long non-coding RNA (1129 nucleotides) under Androctonus crassicauda. Lineage: Eukaryota; Metazoa; Arthropoda; Arachnida; Scorpiones; Buthidae. The record is from RNAcentral.
AUUGAAGAUAUCGCAUGUCUCUCAAAUAAAAAUUGUGCCGUAGAUAAUCCGAUGAAUCUGGCGAAUUUUUCGACAGCUCGCAUUAAAAAUAGAUUUUAUUUUAGACAAUUACAAUUAUUUUUUCUUUUUUUUAUACUUUAUUCUCCGUAUUUCGUCGUCUGUAUUCUCAGUUAUUCUGUACAUGUCUGGAGGGAGUUCCGAAAGCCAGUCCAUAUAUCGCAUAUCUUGUUCGAACAACCUCUCCUCCCACAUACCAAAAGGUUGCCUGGCUCAUUUAGAUCUUUAAAAACCAUAAAAAUCAAGUCCACACGUUUUCCGAAACACAGUAGUACGUGAUAAUACUUACAUGAUUUGGUCUAUCAAUUCUUUUGCAGUUAUUCCUGGCGGAAGUUCCCACUCUUGAUUUUCUUCUACCGAUUAUAAAGAAAAAAAUUAUUUCUAUUAGAACUCGUAACAUUGCUUUUAAAAACGCUUACUAGACUGAUGUAAAGAGUAGAAAUGGAAAACUUUAAAGUCGAGCUACUACAAUGUAAUAAAAUAUUACAAAGCAAUCCGAGCGUUUAUACGCCAGCUAAACAUCUGCUUCCCCGAAACAAUUGCUUUCAAAAGCUUUAUUUUAACUCCGAUUCAGACCCAACUUGUUUUCUUGAUUAAAGAAGAAAUUGUAAUGACAAUUAAAAAUCAAAAUGAAAAUUUUGAUAGGACAAUUGCUGAGCUUGACACACAAUAUUACUUGUGUCUUUAAUGACAAGAUUAAGGAAACUGUCAUCAAAACGCAGGCGAACUGUUCGGCAUAAAAUUGUAAAUAUUUGAUGCUGAAGAGAAGGAAGACCAAUAAUUUUCUUAUGUACAAAAUAUUUGUAAUUAAAAUGACUUUUAUGCUUUAGAAAAUUGUUAAUUUUUAAAAUACUACUUUUUAAACACCUUUUCAUUAUUAUAUCAGGAAUGGUUAGGAAGUUAAUGUUUUCUAAGAUAAAGUAUAAAAUUUGACAUUUUGUACCGAGAAAUUAUACAAUACUGAAUUUAAAGUUAUCAGCAAAAACUUAUCAUGGUGAAAGGAGGACUUUAUAAAAUAAUUAAAAUCAAAUAAUUUUUUUUUUUUUUUCAAAUCUCCAAAUUAACUGUCAAC